CACGUAGGGGGCGAGCGUUGUCCGGAUUUAUUGGGCGUAAAGAGCUCGUAGGCGGCUCGGUAAGUCGGGUGUGAAACCUCCAGGCUCAACCUGGAGACGCCACCUGAUACUGCUGUGGCUAGAGUCCGGUAGGGGAGUGUGGAACUCCUGGUGUAGCGGUGAAAUGCGCAGAUAUCAUCAGGAACUCCGGUGGCGAAGGCGGCUCGCUGGACCUCUUCUGACGCUGAGGCGCGAAAGCUAGGAGAGCAAACGGG
This 254-nucleotide ribosomal RNA is filed under the name uncultured bacterium. Its description in RNAcentral is "partial 16S ribosomal RNA". It matches the Rfam family "Bacterial small subunit ribosomal RNA", at positions 524 to 776 of the family's 1533-position model. The record is from RNAcentral.